UGGGGAAUUUUGGACAAUGGGGGCAACCCUGAUCCAGCGACGCCGCGUGGAGGACGAAGGUCUUCGGAUUGUAAACUCCUUUUAGAGGGGAUGAACGACCUGGUGAAUAGCCAGGCCUGACAGUACUCUUUGAAUAAGCCACGGCUAACUACGUGCCAGCAGCCGCGGUAAUACGUAGGUGGCAAGCGUUACUCGGAAUCACUAGGCGUAAAGCGCAGGUAGGCGGUUUGGUAAGUCUUUUGUGAAAGCUCCUGGCUCAACUGGGAGAGGUCAAAGGAAACUACCAGGCUAGAGUGUGGUAGGGGAUACUGGAAUUCCUGGUGUAGCGGUGAAAUGCGUAGAUAUCAGGAGGAAUACCUAUGGCGAAAGCAGGUAUCUGGGCCAUCACUGACGCUGAGCUGCGAAAGCUAGGGGAGCAAACAG
RNAcentral lists this ribosomal RNA (423 nucleotides) under uncultured bacterium. Its description in RNAcentral is "bacterial SSU rRNA". It matches the Rfam family "Bacterial small subunit ribosomal RNA", at positions 355 to 775 of the family's 1533-position model. The record is from RNAcentral.